Molecule: non-coding RNA, 892 nt
Organism: Chlorocebus sabaeus (green monkey)
Lineage: Eukaryota; Metazoa; Chordata; Mammalia; Primates; Cercopithecidae
Source: RefSeq, a predicted model, not a curated record
AUGAAAUUCAAUCCCUCUGUGACUUCCAAUCGAGGCAAGAACUGCAAAAGGCAUUUCAAUGCAACUUCCAACAUUAGCAGGAAGAUUAUGUCUUCCCCUCUUUCCAAAGAGCUGAGACAGAAGUACAAUGUGUGAUCCAUGCCUAUCUGAAAGGUUUUGAUGAAGGUCAGGUUGUAUGAGGACACUAUAAAAGUCAGCAAAUUGGCAAAGUAGUCCAAGCUUACAGGAAGAAACAUGUCAUCUACAAUGAAUGGGUGCAACGGGAAAAGGCUAAUGGCACAACUGUCCACGUAGAUGUUCACCACAGCAAGGUGGUUCUCACUAGGCUAAAACGGGACAAAGAUGGCAAAAAGAUUCUCGAACAGAAAGCCAAAUCUCGCCAAGUAGGAAAGGAAAAGGGCAAAUACAAGGAAGAAACAAUUGAGAAGAUGCAGGAAUAAAGUAAUCUUAUAUACAAGCUUUGGUAAAAACUUGAAACAAAAAAAAUACAAACCUUGAUCUCAAUCUAUAGGUUUCCUUUUGCUGGCCAACUGAGAUUUAGUAUGUAUUGGAUUGUAGUUGUAGGACGAGGGACAGGAAAAAAGGUUUUAAAAAGCUUUAAAAUAAGCUACAUUAAAAUGAUCAUAAAAAACACAACUUUUUACUUUAGCAAAUAUAAAAUUUCCGAGGUUACAUUUAGAAGCCUUAUCAAAAGUAGAGGAGCAAAGAUACCAGACAUAAAUUAAUCAUAAGAUCCAGUUCAAGCAUUUCAAUCACAGGAGAAAACUAUAAAUUGUAAUUUAUACAAAGUCUAGCUCUAUUGCCAAGGCUGGAGUGCAGUGGCGCGAUCUGGGCUCACUGAAACCUCUACCUCCCAGGUUCAAGCGAUCCUCCUGCCUCAGCUUACCAAAUA